RNAcentral lists this ribosomal RNA (427 nucleotides) under uncultured Gammaproteobacteria bacterium. Its description in RNAcentral is "bacterial SSU rRNA". It matches the Rfam family "Bacterial small subunit ribosomal RNA", at positions 355 to 774 of the family's 1533-position model. Lineage: Bacteria; Pseudomonadati; Pseudomonadota; Gammaproteobacteria. The record is from RNAcentral.
UGGGGAAUAUUGGACAAUGGGGGAAACCCUGAUCCAGCGACGCCGCGUGUGUGAAGAAGGCCUGCGGGUUGUAAAGCACUUUUAGUGGGGAUGAAAUGUGCAGGGCUAACACCUCUGCAUUUUGACCUAACCCACAGAAAAAGCACCGGCUAACUCUGUGCCAGCAGCCGCGGUAAUACAGAGGGUGCAAGCGUUAAUCGGAAUUACUGGGCGUAAAGCGUGCGUAGACGGUUACAUAAGUCGGGUGUGGAAGCCCCGGGCUCAACCUGGGAAUUGCAUUCGAGACUGCGUAGCUAGGUUGCGGAAGAGGGAAGCGGAAUUUCCGGUGUAGCGGUGAAAUGCGUAGAUAUCGGAAGGAACACCAGUGGCGGAAGCGGCUUCCUGGUCCAGCACCGACGUUCAGGCACGAAAGCGUGGGGAGCAAACA